AGCUCAAAUUUAAAAUCUGGCAGCCUUGUGUUGUCCGAGUUGUAAUUUGCAGAGGAUGCUUUGGCAUUGGCGGCGGUCUAAGUUCCUUGGAACAGGACAUCGCAGAGGGUGAGAAUCCCGUACGUGGGCGCCUGCCUUUGCCGUGUAAAGCUCCUUCGAC
Molecule: ribosomal RNA, 160 nt
Filed under: Pseudopithomyces sp.
Lineage: Eukaryota; Fungi; Ascomycota; Dothideomycetes; Pleosporales; Didymosphaeriaceae
Description: partial large subunit ribosomal RNA
Rfam family: Eukaryotic large subunit ribosomal RNA
Source: RNAcentral